This 375-nucleotide ribosomal RNA is filed under the name uncultured organism. RNAcentral's name for it is "partial 16S ribosomal RNA". It matches the Rfam family "Bacterial small subunit ribosomal RNA", at positions 527 to 896 of the family's 1533-position model. The record is from RNAcentral.
GUAGGUGGCAAGCGUUGUCCGGGAAUUAUUGGGGCGUAAAGCGCGCGCAGGCGGUUCUUUAAGUCUGAUGUGAAAGCCCACGGGCUCAACCGUGGAGGGUCAUUGGAAACUGGAGAACUUGAGUACAGAAGAGGAAAGCGGAAUUCCACGUGUAGCGGUGGAAUGCGUAGAGAUGUGGAGGAACACCAGUGGCGAAGGCGGCUUUCUGGUCUGUAACUGACGCUGAGGCGCGAAAGCGUGGGGAGCAAACAGGAUUAGAUACCCUGGUAGUCCACGCCGUAAACGAUGAGUGCUAAGUGUUAGGGGGUUUCCGCCCCUUAGUGCUGCAGCUAACGCAUUAAGCACUCCGCCUGGGGAGUACGGCCGCAAAGGCUG